This 342-nucleotide unclassified non-coding RNA is filed under the name soil metagenome. Its description in RNAcentral is "partial contains 5.8S ribosomal RNA, internal transcribed spacer 2, and large subunit ribosomal RNA". The stretch from base 1 to 120 matches the Rfam family "5.8S ribosomal RNA", at positions 35 to 154 of the family's 154-position model. The record is from RNAcentral.
GAUGAAGAACGCAGCGAAAUGCGAUAAGUAAUAUGAAUUGCAGAAUUCAGUGAAUCAUCGAAUCUUUGAACGCACAUUGCGCCCGCCAGCACUCUGGCGGGCAUGCCUGUUCGAGCGUCAUUUCAACCAUCAAGCCCCCAGGGGCUUGUGCUGGGGCCCUGCGGCUGCCCGCAGGCCCUGAAAACCAGUGGCGGGCUCGCUAGUCACACCGAGCGCAGUAGCACAUCUCGCUCAGGGCGUGCGGCGGGCUCCUGCCGUGAAACCCCCCACUGUAACCCCAAAGGUUGACCUCGGAUCAGGUAGGAAUACCCGCUGAACUUAAGCAUAUCAAUAAGCGGAGGA